Molecule: non-coding RNA, 378 nt
Filed under: Nosema bombycis CQ1
Lineage: Eukaryota; Fungi; Microsporidia; Nosematidae
Description: Microsporidia small subunit ribosomal RNA
Rfam family: Microsporidia small subunit ribosomal RNA
Source: Rfam by way of RNAcentral
GUUUCCAAUGGAUGCUGUGAAGUAAUGAUUAAUUUCAACAAGAUGUGAGACCCUCAUUUAGACAGAUGUAGUGAUACAUAUGAAGGAGAGGAUUAAAACAGGUCCGUUAUGCCCUAAGAUAAUCUGGGUUGCACGCGCAAUACAAUAAUAUUUGAUAUUAUAAGGGAUAAUAUAAUGUAAGAUAUAUUUGAACAUGGAAUUGCUAGUAAAUUUUAUUUAAUAAGUAGAAUUGAAUGAGUCCCUGUUCUUUGUACACACCGCCCGUCGCUAUCUAAGAUGGUAUUAUCUAUGAACAAAUUUAUAAAGUGAAUAGAUAGUACUAGAUCUGAUAUAAGUCGUAACAUGGUUGCUGUUGGAGAACCAUUAGCAGGAUCAUAA